UGCCAGUGAUAAACUGGAGGAAGGUGGGGAUGACGUCAAGUCAUCAUGGCCCUUACGAGUAGGGCUACACACGUGCUACAAUGGCAUAUACAAAGAGAAGCGACCUCGCGAGAGCAAGCGGACCUCAUAAAGUAUGUCGUAGUCCGGAUUGGAGUCUGCAACUCGACUCCAUGAAGUCGGAAUCGCUAGUAAUCGUGGAUCAGAAUGCCACGGUGAAUACGUUCCCGGGCCUUGUACACACCGCCCGUCACACCAUGGGAGUGGGUUGCAAAAGAAGUAGGUAGCUUAACCUUCGGGAGGGCGCUUACCACUUUGUGAUUCAUGACUGGGGUGAAGUCGUAACAAGGUAACCGUAGGGGAACCUGCGGUUGGA
This 373-nucleotide ribosomal RNA is filed under the name Citrobacter freundii. RNAcentral's name for it is "bacterial SSU rRNA". It matches the Rfam family "Bacterial small subunit ribosomal RNA", at positions 1150 to 1522 of the family's 1533-position model. RNAcentral also lists the same sequence under 1 other name. Lineage: Bacteria; Pseudomonadati; Pseudomonadota; Gammaproteobacteria; Enterobacterales; Enterobacteriaceae. The record is from RNAcentral.